UACGGAGGGUGCAAGCGUUAAUCGGAAUUACUGGGCGUAAAGCGUGCGUAGGCGGUUUGUUUAGUCAGAUGUGAAAGCCCCGGGCUCAACCUGGGAACUGCAUUUGAUACUGGCAGACUUGAGUAUGGUAGAGGGGGGUAGAAUUCCACGUGUAGCAGUGAAAUGCGUAGAGAUGUGGAGGAAUACCGAUGGCGAAGGCAGCCCCCUGGGCCAACACUGACGCUGAGGUACGAAAGCGUGGGGAGCAAACAGG
RNAcentral lists this ribosomal RNA (253 nucleotides) under uncultured bacterium. RNAcentral describes it as "partial 16S ribosomal RNA". It matches the Rfam family "Bacterial small subunit ribosomal RNA", at positions 524 to 776 of the family's 1533-position model. The record is from RNAcentral.